Molecule: ribosomal RNA, 229 nt
Filed under: uncultured bacterium
Lineage: Bacteria
Description: partial 16S ribosomal RNA
Rfam family: Bacterial small subunit ribosomal RNA
Source: RNAcentral
UACGUAGGCGGGAAAUUAAGUCAGUAGUGAAAUCCCACAGCUUAACUGUGGAACUGUUAUUGAUACUGGUUUUCUUGAAUAUAGUUGAGGUAGGCGGAAUGUGUAAUGUAGCGGUGAAAUGCUUAGAUAUUACACAGAACACCGAUUGCGAAGGCAGCUUACUAAGCUAUGAUUGACGCUGAGGUACGAAAGCGUGGGGUGCGAACAGGAUUAGAUACCCUGGUAGUCC